CGUAGGAGGCGAGCGUUAUCCGGAUUCACUGGGCGUAAAGCGCGUGCAGGUGGCUCGGUAAGUUGGGCGUGAAAUCUCCCGGCUCAACUGGGAGAGGUCGUUCAAUACUACCGAGCUUGAGAGCAGAGGAGGAAGAUGGAAUUCCCGGUGUAGUGGUGAAAUGCGUAGAUAUCGGGAGGAACACCAGUGGCGAAGGCGAUCUUCUGGUCUGUUUCUGACACUCAGACGCGACAGCUAGGGUAGUAAACGGGAUUAGAGACCCCGGUAAUCCUAGCCGUAAACGAUGUGAACUUGGCGUUGGUGGGUUAAACUCCAUCAGUGCCGAAGCAAACGCGAUAAGUUCACCGCCUGGGGACUACGGCCGCAAGGUUA
RNAcentral lists this ribosomal RNA (372 nucleotides) under uncultured organism. Its description in RNAcentral is "bacterial SSU rRNA". It matches the Rfam family "Bacterial small subunit ribosomal RNA", at positions 526 to 896 of the family's 1533-position model. The record is from RNAcentral.